UACGAAGGGGGCUAGCGUUGCUCGGAAUCACUGGGCGUAAAGCGCACGUAGGCGGAUUGCUAAGUCAGGGGUGAAAUCCUGGAGCUCAACUCCAGAACUGCCUUUGAUACUGGCGAUCUCGAGUCCGGGAGAGGUGAGUGGAACUGCGAGUGUAGAGGUGAAAUUCGUAGAUAUUCGCAAGAACACCAGUGGCGAAGGCGGCUCACUGGCCCGGUACUGACGCUGAGGUGCGAAAGCGUGGGGAGCGAACAGG
This 253-nucleotide ribosomal RNA is filed under the name uncultured bacterium. RNAcentral's name for it is "partial 16S ribosomal RNA". It matches the Rfam family "Bacterial small subunit ribosomal RNA", at positions 524 to 776 of the family's 1533-position model. The record is from RNAcentral.